RNAcentral lists this long non-coding RNA (1760 nucleotides) under Volvox carteri. RNAcentral describes it as "long non-coding RNA (VCAR_LNC001434)". Lineage: Eukaryota; Viridiplantae; Chlorophyta; Chlorophyceae; Chlamydomonadales; Volvocaceae. The record is from RNAcentral.
CGGCCACUAGGCCGUCGCCGGCAGAUACGGUCAGCCACAGCCUGCCGACGUCGUCUGCUGUGCAUACGAACAACAACGUAGCGUUUAACGUUCUUCGUCUCGCUAAAAUCGUCCGUAAGCCUGCCCGUCGUACCGGCUGCAAGCGUGCUCGUGCAGCUGCAACGUCGACAACGACGGGAGCAUGCCAGGCGAACAUUGAUUACAUCCCUUUACUCUAGCGUCUACAUCCGCCACCCUGUUUCCCGAUACCACCCUUCACCACGUCUCCACCUCGUCUCAUCUAUCAUUCGCUUCCGCCAACCAUCCGUCGCCACCUUCCACACCUGUUAAAAACCUCAUCCAACAUAUCUCCACUCCCCAUCUAGCACCCCCACCCCAACCACCGGACCACCCUUCACCACCUCGAUCCCACAUAGUUCAUCUUAUCACCCACUUUUCACAACCCCCAAGUGGACUGGCGCACCAGCACCGCCACCAGCGGCAACACCGUCAUUCCCCAUUCCCCCUGCCGCUUGCAUCCAGUAUUCCACAUCAGCCGCCUCCUCCCAUGGACGGACAACGACCCAGCGCUCUUUCCCGGCCGCCCACCACCUCCACCUGCAGCCCCUACUGCACUAGAAUCCCCGUAUGACAGUGCAGAUACCGUUGUUACAGCUGUUCGCCUAGGGUAUAACAAGCGCGCACGCCCGUCCGUCAUGUUCCUCGUGCAGUGGUCCGCAAGUAGUAAACGCGACCCCUCAUGGGAACCAUACGACGACGUGCACAACCUGCCAGCGCUUCGUGCCUUCCUGAGGAGCCCAAGCUGGACCGCGUUCAGGCUAUCAGAUCGCUAUGCGUGGUUCAGAGCCAAGUUCCCGGAGCAUGCCCCAAGGAUCGUACAGUUUUUGGCAGAGUAGAGCUGCGGCUGGAUGUGUGUGUGUGUGUCAUCAUGUGUAUUCGGUAUAUCUGUGCGUCUUCGUUCUGUUCCUGUCCGUAGAUUACACCAGUCAGUUCAACGUAGUGUGGUAUUACAUUUCACGGUGUGUUCGCGUCUGGGUAUUUGGGUUCCGUGUGGUCAGAUUUAAGUCGUUUUCGUAGCAGCUUUUGCGUAUUUCCGGAUUCUUAAGCCGGAUAUGGUAGGAGUCGUGCGCCACAUUUUAGGCCGGUAUCCAGUGCGGGGAAGGUUUUGCCUUGACUCCGGUUCCCUUUUGCCUUCCCCUCGUUAGCCUGGUACCGAUUUCGUUCAGGGAAUCGGAGAGGCGCACGACUAUGGCCGCUUAGUGACGUUUUCGCACCGAGGACGGUGCUUGUUUUUAAGGAGGGGAGUGUGUAAGGUUUUGCAGUUCGUUAGCGCGCGCUUCUGAGACCAUGUCGAAACUUCGGAGCUAGUGGAGCUUGAUCCUGUGGUUCUCCGUGUGAGACAAUGGCGCGCUAUUAUGAUUAUUUAAGCGGACCAUUUUAUGAACAUUGUAAGUCUAAGUUGAUAUUGAAAAGCCCGAUCUUCUGUGCUUACGCAAGUAUAUCGGCCAGUAAAGUCAGCUUACGCUUCCCAGUUGUUAGGAGCGGCCUGGUUCCCUUUCAAUUAGUUUCUUAUUGCUUGCAUGAUUUGCUGAGCCAGGUGUGAGAUUUUUUGAACUUAAUGUUAAGUGUGCGGCCUAGUGGAAAUACCCUGUUAGGUGUUUUGGGUGUCUUCGGUAUUUUACUUGCCUUAGCUGCUUUAGACUUAUAAGUAUAUAUGCUUUUGUGCGUAAACGUUAUAUGGUAAAUGGUCAAGAUGUAGG